This 265-nucleotide signal recognition particle RNA is filed under the name Oscillospiraceae bacterium. Its description in RNAcentral is "signal recognition particle sRNA large type". It matches the Rfam family "Bacterial large signal recognition particle RNA". From Rfam's summary of the family: The signal recognition particle (SRP) is a universally conserved ribonucleoprotein involved in the co-translational targeting of proteins to membranes. Lineage: Bacteria; Bacillati; Bacillota; Clostridia; Eubacteriales; Oscillospiraceae. The record is from RNAcentral.
GCGCGCUAGUCGGGGAGUCAGCGGUGCCCUGUAGCCUGCAACCCGCUACAGCAGGGAUGAAUUCCGUCCCCCGGACUUGCGGUGUGUCGUCUGCCCCGGGUAAGCGGCGUUGAAGAAUCGGUCUUGCGCAACGGAAGCUCGUGAACCAUGUCAGGCGGGGAACCGAGCAGCAUUAAGCGAAAUCUUCCGUGUGCCGCGAGGGUUCCGGUUCAGAGCCGGCUGCCUGGGUUACGGAUAUACCGCACGCUCAAAGGACGGUGCGCGC